UGCUCUACCAGUCAAUCAUUCCCUAAGUUUAGUCCAGGUUCCAGGGGAGAGAAUGCAGACCCUACUUCCCCAUGGGAAAGUGUCAAUUUUAAGACAUGUUGAAAACCUUUACAAUUCAGUAUCAUAAUAAUAAAAAAAAAAACUUCAUUAGUGGCUGUGACGGUCAUUCAGUGCUGCUGAUUGUUUGAAAUUUUUGAAGAACCCUCUUUCUUAUGGCUUUGGUUUAUUUACUAUGGCUCUUAACCAUGGCUACAAGUCAUCUCUGGAAAGCACGAUAAAUCUAUCAGUCCUGG
This 293-nucleotide long non-coding RNA is filed under the name Homo sapiens (human). RNAcentral's name for it is "non-protein coding lnc-ZBTB20-5:1". The record is from RNAcentral. Lineage: Eukaryota; Metazoa; Chordata; Mammalia; Primates; Hominidae.